UACGGAGGAUGCGAGCGUUAUCCGGAUUUAUUGGGUUUAAAGGGUGCGUAGGCGGGAUGCCAAGUCAGCGGUAAAAAUGCGGUGCUCAACGCCGUCGAGCCGUUGAAACCGGCGUUCUUGAGUGGGCGAGAAGUAUGCGGAAUGCGUGGUGUAGCGGUGAAAUGCAUAGAUAUCACGCAGAACUCCGAUUGCGAAGGCGGCAUACCGGCGCCCUACUGACGCUGAGGCACGAAAGCGUGGGUAUCGAACAGG
RNAcentral lists this ribosomal RNA (252 nucleotides) under uncultured bacterium. RNAcentral's name for it is "partial 16S ribosomal RNA". It matches the Rfam family "Bacterial small subunit ribosomal RNA", at positions 524 to 776 of the family's 1533-position model. The record is from RNAcentral.